RNAcentral lists this ribosomal RNA (497 nucleotides) under uncultured bacterium. RNAcentral describes it as "partial 16S ribosomal RNA". It matches the Rfam family "Bacterial small subunit ribosomal RNA", at positions 28 to 507 of the family's 1533-position model. The record is from RNAcentral.
GAUGAACGCUGGCGGCGUGCCUAAUACAUGCAAGUCGAGCGAACGGACGAGAAGCUUGCUUCUCUGAUGUUAGCGGCGGACGGGUGAGUAACACGUGGAUAACCUACUUAUAAGACUGGGAUAACUUCGGGAAACCGUAGCUAAUACCGGAUAAUAUUUUGAACCGCAUGGUUCAAAAGUGAAAGACGGUCUUGCUGUCACUUUUAGAUGGAUCCGCGCUGCAUUAGCUAGUUGGUAAGGUAACGGCUUACCAAGGCAACGAUGCAUAGCCGACCUGAGAGGGUGAUCGGCCACACUGGAACUGAGACACGGUCCAGACUCCUACGGGAGGCAGCAGUAGGGAAUCUUCCGCAAUGGGCGAAAGCCUGACGGAGCAACGCCGCGUGAGUGAUGAAGGUCUUCGGAUCGUAAAACUCUGUUAUUAGGGAAGAACAUAUGUGUAAGUAACUGUGCACAUCUUGACGGUACCUAAUCAGAAAGCCACGGCUAACUACGUG